GCUAAUGACAAGUGUGGCCGUACCACCUGAUCUGAUCUCAGAAGCGAAGUGGGGUUGGGCCUGGUUAGAACUGAGAGAAGAGACCACUGGGAAUACCAAUUGUCACCAGGC
This 111-nucleotide ribosomal RNA is filed under the name Periophthalmus magnuspinnatus. Lineage: Eukaryota; Metazoa; Chordata; Actinopteri; Gobiiformes; Gobiidae. The record is from RNAcentral.